GGGCAGUCUGGUGACACAGCAGCCGCGGUAAUUCCAGCUCCAAUAGCGUAUAUUAAAAUUGUUGCAGUUAAAAAGCUCGUAGUUGAAUUUUUGCUAGAAAUAACCGGUCUGCUUUUAUUUAUAAGAGUGGUAUCUUGGUGUGUUUUUAGCAAUAAUGUCCUUUGGAAUGUUUUUUACUUUAUUGUAGAAUGCAAUUUUGAGGAUUUUUACUUUGAGAAAAUUAGAGUGUUUCAAGCAGGCUAACGUUUUGAAUACUGCAGCAUGGAAUAAUAAAAUAGGAUUUUAGUUCUACGUUAUUGGUUUUAAGAACUAAAUUAAUGAUUGAUAGGAGCAGUUGGGGGCAUUUGUAUUUAACUGUCAGAGGUGAAAUUCUUAGAUUUGUUAAAGACACACUACUGCGAAAGCAUUUGCCAAAGAUGUUUUCAUUAAUCAAGAACGAAAGUUAGGGGAUCGAAGACGAUCA
This 463-nucleotide ribosomal RNA is filed under the name Hepatozoon sp. T56. RNAcentral describes it as "bacterial SSU rRNA". It matches the Rfam family "Eukaryotic small subunit ribosomal RNA", at positions 553 to 1010 of the family's 1831-position model. The record is from RNAcentral. Lineage: Eukaryota; Apicomplexa; Hepatozoidae.